UGCCAGCCGCCGCGGUAAUACGGAGGGAGCAAGCGUUGCUCGGAAUUACUGGGCGUAAAGCGAGCGUAGGCGGUUAAUCAAGUUGGUGGUGAAAGCCCAGAGCUUAACUCUGGAACUGCCAUCAAAACUGGUUGACUAGAGAUUGGUAGAGGAAAAUGGAAUUCCUAGUGUAGAGGUGAAAUUCGUAGAUAUUGGGAAGAACACCAGUGGCGAAGGCGAUUUUCUGGGCCAAUUCUGACGCUGAGGUUCGAAAGCGUGGGUAGCAAACAGGAUUAGAUA
Molecule: ribosomal RNA, 279 nt
Filed under: uncultured bacterium
Lineage: Bacteria
Description: partial 16S ribosomal RNA
Rfam family: Bacterial small subunit ribosomal RNA
Source: RNAcentral